UACGUAGGGGGCAAGCGUUGUCCGGAUUCAUUGGGCGUAAAGCGCGUGUAGGCGGCCAGGUAGGUCGGUUGUGAAAACUGGAGGCUCAACCUUCAGAGGUCGACCGAAACCAUCUGGCUAGAGUCCGGGAGAGGAGAGUGGAAUUCCUGGUGUAGCGGUGAAAUGCGCAGAUAUCAGGAAGAACACCCGUGGCGAAAGCGGCUCUCUGGAAUGGUACUGACGCUGAGACGCGAAAGCGUGGGGAGCGAACAGG
RNAcentral lists this ribosomal RNA (253 nucleotides) under uncultured bacterium. RNAcentral's name for it is "partial 16S ribosomal RNA". It matches the Rfam family "Bacterial small subunit ribosomal RNA", at positions 524 to 776 of the family's 1533-position model. The record is from RNAcentral.